This 402-nucleotide ribosomal RNA is filed under the name uncultured bacterium. RNAcentral describes it as "bacterial SSU rRNA". It matches the Rfam family "Bacterial small subunit ribosomal RNA", at positions 355 to 774 of the family's 1533-position model. RNAcentral also lists the same sequence under 1 other name. The record is from RNAcentral.
UCGGGAAUUUUGCUCAAUGGGCGCAAGCCUGAAGCAGCAACGCCGCGUGCGGGAUGACGGCCUUCGGGUUGUAAACCGCUUUUACCAGGGACGAUAAUGACGGUACCUGAUGAAUAAGUCACGGCUAACUACGUGCCAGCAGCCGCGGUAAUACGUAGGUGACCAGCGUUGUCCGGAUUUACUGGGCGUAAAGAGCGCGCAGGCGGUCGUUCAAGUCGAGUGUGAAAGCCCCCGGCUCAACUGGGGAGGGUCACUCGAUACUGAUCGACUUGAAGGCAGGAGAGGGAAGCGGAAUUCCCGGUGUAGUGGUGAAAUGCGUAGAUAUCGGGAGGAACACCAGUGGCGAAGGCGGCUUCCUGGCCUGUUCUUGACGCUGAGGCGCGAAAGCUAGGGGAGCAAACG